Molecule: ribosomal RNA, 253 nt
Filed under: uncultured bacterium
Lineage: Bacteria
Description: partial 16S ribosomal RNA
Rfam family: Bacterial small subunit ribosomal RNA
Source: RNAcentral
UACGUAGGAGGCAAGCGUUGUCCGGAAUUACUGGGCGUAAGGCGCGUGUAGGUGGUGGGACAAGUCUGCUGUGAAAGCGCCUGGCUUAACCGGGCGAGGUCGGCGGAAACUGUUCGACUCGAGGACGGUAGAGGGGGGUGGAAUUCCCGGUGUAGUGGUGAAAUGCGUAGAGAUCCGGAAGAACACCGGUGGCGAAGGCGGCCUGCUGGGCUAUGGCUGACACUGAGGCGCGACAGCGUGGGGAGCAAACAGG